UGGCAUAACAGUUAAGCGCUUGGCUCCCAACCAAAAGUUCGAUGGUUUGAAUCCAUC
Molecule: transfer RNA, 57 nt
Filed under: Loxodonta africana (African savanna elephant)
Lineage: Eukaryota; Metazoa; Chordata; Mammalia; Proboscidea; Elephantidae
Rfam family: tRNA
About the family: Transfer RNA (tRNA) molecules are approximately 80 nucleotides in length. Their secondary structure includes four short double-helical elements and three loops (D, anti-codon, and T loops).
Source: Rfam by way of RNAcentral